CUAGUAUAGCAUCUAUACGGUGAAACUGCGAAUGGCUCAUUAAAUCAGUUAUCGUUUAUUUGAUAGUACCUUACUACAUGGAUAACCGUGGUAAUUCUAGAGCUAAUACAUGCUAAAAACCCCGACUUCGGAAGGGGUGUAUUUAUUAGAUAAAAAACCGAUGCCCUUCGGGGCUCCUUGGUGAUUCAUAAUAACUUAACGAAUCGCAUGGCCUUGCGCCGGCGAUGGUUCAUUCAAAUUUCUGCCCUAUCAACUUUCGAUGGUAGGAUAGUGGCCUACCAUGGUUUCAACGGGUAACGGGGAAUUAGGGUUCUAUUCCGGAGAGGGAGCCUGAGAAACGGCUACCACAUCCAAGGAAGGCAGCAGGCGCGCAAAUUACCCAAUCCCGACACGGGGAGGUAGUGACAAUAAAUACUGAUACAGGGCUCUUUUGGGUCUUGUAAUUGGAAUGAGUACAAUUUAAAUCCCUUAACGAGGAACAAUUGGAGGGCAAGUCUGGUGCCAGCAGCCGCGGUAAUUCCAGCUCCAAUAGCGUAUAUUAAAGUUGUUGCAGUUAAAAAGCUCGUAGUUGAACCUUGGGCCUGGCUGGCCGGUCCGCCUCACCGCGUGCACUGGUCCGGCCGGGCCUUUCCUCCUGGGGAGCCGCAUGCCCUUCACUGGGUGUGUCGGGGAACCAGGACUUUUACUUUGAAAAAAUUAGAGUGUUCAAAGCAGGCCUAUGCUCGAAUACAUUAGCAUGGAAUAAUAGAAUAGGACGUGUGGUUCUAUUUUGUUGGUUUCUAGGACCGCCGUAAUGAUUAAUAGGGAUAGUCGGGGGCAUCAGUAUUCAAUUGUCAGAGGUGAAAUUCUUGGAUUUAUUGAAGACUAACUACUGCGAAAGCAUUUGCCAAGGAUGUUUUCAUUAAUCAGUGAACGAAAGUUAGGGAUCGAGACGAUCAGAU
Molecule: ribosomal RNA, 941 nt
Filed under: Leotiomycetes sp.
Lineage: Eukaryota; Fungi; Ascomycota; Leotiomycetes
Description: SSU rRNA
Rfam family: Eukaryotic small subunit ribosomal RNA
Source: RNAcentral